RNAcentral lists this ribosomal RNA (460 nucleotides) under uncultured bacterium. RNAcentral's name for it is "partial 16S ribosomal RNA". It matches the Rfam family "Bacterial small subunit ribosomal RNA", at positions 338 to 795 of the family's 1533-position model. The record is from RNAcentral.
CCUACGGGAGGCAGCAGUGAGGAAUAUUGGACAAUGGGCGGAAGCCUGAACCAGCGAAGUCGCGUGAGGGAAUAAGGACCUACUGGUCGUAAACCUCUUUUGCCGGGGAGCAAGGGCGGGGACGUGUCCAAGCCCGGCGAGUACCCUACGAGACAGCAUCGGCUAAAUCCCGUCCAGCAGCCGCGGUAAUACGGAGUAUUCGAGAGUUAUCCGGAUUUAUUGGGUUUAAAGGUUGCGUGGGCGGGCUUUUAAGUCAGCGGUAAAAAUUCGGUGCUAAACCCCGGCCGGCCGUUGAAACUGGGGGGCUUGAGUGGGAGAGAAGAAGGCGGAAUGCGUGGUGUAGCGGUGAAAUGCAUAGAUAUCACGCAGAACCCCGAUUGCGAAGGCAGCCUUCCGGCGCCCUACUGACGCUGAGGCACGAAAGUGCGGGGAUCGAACAGGAUUAGAUACCCUUGUAGUC